This 1477-nucleotide long non-coding RNA is filed under the name Struthio camelus australis. RNAcentral's name for it is "lncRNA (ENSSCUG00000010994.1)". Lineage: Eukaryota; Metazoa; Chordata; Aves; Struthioniformes; Struthionidae. The record is from RNAcentral.
AAUCAGUAGAAAGCAGUUAGCAAAUGUAAAUCACAUAUUAUGACAACUGGAAAAGAGCAGAAUGUCAUUUAAUUGUUCAGUUAGGUGGUAGUGGAGAAGACAGUUUUAAAAAGUGACUUUUUUUCCCUUGAGCAGUAAGACCUAACUCUUUAACCCUUCUACUGUGCCUCUAAUAGAGACUAUGUAUACAAGCCUCCUUCAUUUCUAGGAUUUGUCAGUGCUUUUAGAGCUGACCGCUUCUUCCUUUUGGCUUCUCUGAAGCAACUUCAGGUAUAAACAUGUAAUCUAUAUGUUCGAAUGACUUUACUGUUCAUGCAGCACCUGAAAUGCAUGCAUAACAUAUGGCACAGCAGUAACUACUUCCUUUUCUUACAGAACAGAAAUGGAAUGUGUAUUAUGCAUGUAAAAAUGAAUUCUCCGAUAAGAACAGAGAACACCCAAGGAUUAGUAAGGAUCUCUUUAAUAUACUGGUCCUGUGCUCCACACUCCUUGUUAACAUGAGGAGUCUCCCACAAUAUGUUAAAAGAUGAGUCUUUAGUCUCCAGCUUGCUGAUCCCUGGUUUACAAUCAGAUGUGACAGCAAUAGAAUGACUGUAAAUAUCUUGAUGUGAAAAUCUGUAUGAAGAUGGGACUGCCAUUUCUCUUCCUACUCUUCUGUGUUUUUGGUACGCGAGAUGUUAGCUGCACCACUUCUGCUUGCUUCCCAUCAAACUGGAAAAAUGCAUCUGCUCUGCUUUCUGAGCCACCCUCUAGAAAAUAUGAAGAAGCCCUGGAGCCCUGACUUACCAGUUGAUAGUCACUCAUACAAUUCAGAUUUUACAUCCAUCCCAGACAGAGAAAAUGAGAAAGAUUUAGCACCUGAUGGCACUGAGGAAAAGAAGGAGAGAGAAAAGAAACACACCAAUUUCACUUUGUGCAAUGUUUGUAACAUUCAGCUGAACUCUGCAGCUCAGGCACAAAUCCACUAUAAUGGCAAAUCCCAUCAGAAGAGAUUAAAACAGCUCAGCAAUGGAAAUUUCAAAAGUGAUAAUGGUUUCUGUCAUGGGAUGGAGAGAAUACCAAACGGGCUUUGAUAGGAAGAAACACUCCAGGCUACCUGACGAUGUUAUUGCUACGUCUGAGUUUAGAUCUAUUGUCAUAAGAUUUUAAUGAACGUUUCCAAAAAGUUUACUCCAAAUUACUUCUAAAUAAGUGGGUACAAUGAAUCUCACUUUCAAAAGAAAGCCUUGUUUCUAAAGUAGAACUGCUGAUGUAUUCUAGAUAUUUUUUCUUCUUAGGACUUUUCAAGAUACUCCUUCCAAAAUUCCUAGUAACAAGUCACUCCAGGUUCCUAGGAGAGGACAGGAUAAAGCUGAUAGUGUUGGAAACCGCCAAGUCCAUUUGCAUUGUUUCUUAUUGAAAAGGUGCUAUCUGGUAGUGCUUCAGAAGUACCUACUGUUGUAUUUUCAGUAUAAUAAAAUACAGCUGAACAGAAGCA